UCUCACAGACUACCAGGAUUUUCCCAAGAAGGUGGAAUUAUCUUUAGAGGAGGGGGUGUCAGCUGAGAGACCUUUUCAAAGAUUAAACAACAGGAAAGGGUAUAUAGGCAUACUGUUGGAGCUGGGAACAGAUGCUGACCGCAACGGCCGAGGGGAAAGUGAUAGAAGAAGAGCCUCUUGGAGCAGGAGAGCAACAUCAGAGUGGAAAUCCAAACACAUUUCACUGCCUACCCAGAAGAAGGUAAAAAGAAAAGGAGUCAAGGGGAUGCAGAAGGUGACGGGAGGUCAGAGUGGAAAUCCAAGAGGCAGACGAUACAAUGGAGAGUUCCUCCAGCCGACCUUAAAGCACUAGAGCAGGCGGGAUGCCAAGAUAACACUGGCAGAAAAGCCCAGGAAAAAUAUCAUUUUCUCCAUGAGACACAGACUCUUUCUUGAAAAAAAUAGAGCAACCAACUCCUUUCUGCUCAGAAUGAGAAUAGAGUCAAUUAGCAACUUCAGAUGAUCUAUUUGGUGAGCUUUCCAUGGAAGAUUCUUUUAGGUUUCCACUAAUUCUGAACUUUCUUCUCUGCUGAGUUCUCCUUUCCUUUGGUCCCCACAGGACACAGCUCGAGGUCCAGUCAUGUCUCUCUCUACCAA
Molecule: long non-coding RNA, 636 nt
Organism: Ornithorhynchus anatinus (platypus)
Lineage: Eukaryota; Metazoa; Chordata; Mammalia; Monotremata; Ornithorhynchidae
Exons: 2
Source: RefSeq, a predicted model, not a curated record